RNAcentral lists this long non-coding RNA (434 nucleotides) under Anas zonorhyncha (Eastern spot-billed duck). RNAcentral describes it as "lncRNA (ENSAZOG00000013973.1)". Lineage: Eukaryota; Metazoa; Chordata; Aves; Anseriformes; Anatidae. The record is from RNAcentral.
UUAAGUUUGAUGUUAAUGGAAAACCCAUUUAAAACAAUGAUUACCCUCUGAAGAAAAAGUGAGUGCACUCAAGUGGAAACGGAAGAUUUAUUGAUCAGUUUUCAGGCACAUCAAAAGCUUUCUAAUCAACCCCUGGAUGUGCCGCUUGGCGAGGAAGGAGACGCUGCAGGCCUCGCCCUUGGCGCCCAGCACGGCCACCGCCAUGAGCGCGGCCUUCCCCUGCCCCUUCACAACGGGGAGAAGGAAAACCAAAACAAGUGUGGUGAGCAAAAGGAACCAAAGAACCACAAGUGAAGAGACAACAAGAGGAAUAGAGCUGGGAGAAAAUCACCGUACUUUUGUAAGUAGAUGGCCACGUUGCCUGCUAAAGUAUUUCCUCCAAGUCCAGAGACACUCAGGUGACAUUGCCAUUGCUUCUUUUGCACACCCAGCUG